GGAAGCGGAUGGGGGCCGGCGAUGUGCCUCGGUCGGAUGCGGAACGGCGUCAGCCGGUUCGCCGCUCGGCUCGGGGUACGGACCGUUGCGGGCUGUGUCGGCGGCCGAAGCCCGGGCGGUUGAUCCCGCCCGUGGAUAUGCCGUCGGAACGGCCGGGGAAGCGGCGUGCGUCGUCAAGACGGCACCCAUGUGGCGCCCGCACGCCCCCGGCACCGGUCUGUGGGCUCCCCAUCCGACCCGUCUUGAAACACGGACC
RNAcentral lists this unclassified non-coding RNA (256 nucleotides) under Hevea brasiliensis (rubber tree). The record is from RNAcentral. Lineage: Eukaryota; Viridiplantae; Streptophyta; Magnoliopsida; Malpighiales; Euphorbiaceae.